This 272-nucleotide ribosomal RNA is filed under the name uncultured bacterium. RNAcentral's name for it is "partial 16S ribosomal RNA". It matches the Rfam family "Bacterial small subunit ribosomal RNA", at positions 524 to 796 of the family's 1533-position model. The record is from RNAcentral.
UACGGGGGGUGCGAGCGUUGUCCGGAUUUACUGGGCGUAAAGGGAGCGUAGGCGGCCGAAUAAGUCAGAUGUGAAAUCCCUGGGCUUAACCCAGGACGUGCAUUUGAAACUAUUCGGCUGGAGUAGGGGAGAGGAAAGUGGAAUUCCUGGUGUAGAGGUGAAAUUCGUAGAUAUCAGGAGGAACACCGGCGGCGAAGGCGACUUUCUGGCCCUAUACUGACGCUGAGACGCGAGAGCGUGGGUAGCAAACAGGAUUAGAUACCCCGUAGUCC